UACGAAGGGGGCUAGCGUUGCUCGGAAUCACUGGGCGUAAAGGGUGCGUAGGCGGGUCUUUUAAGUCAGGGGUGAAAUCCUGGAGCUCAACUCCAGAACUGCCUUUGAUACUGAGGAUCUUGAGUUCGGGAGAGGUGAGUGGAACUGCGAGUGUAGAGGUGAAAUUCGUAGAUAUUCGCAAGAACACCAGUGGCGAAGGCGGCUCACUGGCCCGAUACUGACGCUGAGGCACGAAAG
This 237-nucleotide ribosomal RNA is filed under the name uncultured bacterium. RNAcentral describes it as "partial 16S ribosomal RNA". It matches the Rfam family "Bacterial small subunit ribosomal RNA", at positions 524 to 759 of the family's 1533-position model. The record is from RNAcentral.